This 301-nucleotide ribosomal RNA is filed under the name uncultured bacterium. RNAcentral describes it as "partial 16S ribosomal RNA". It matches the Rfam family "Bacterial small subunit ribosomal RNA", at positions 509 to 808 of the family's 1533-position model. The record is from RNAcentral.
CAGUCGCCGCGGUAAUACGGAGGGUGCAAGCGUUAAUCGGAACUACUGGGCGUAAAGCGCACGUAGGCGGCUUGGUAAGUUAGAGGUGAAAGCCCGGAGCUCAACUCCGGAAUUGCCUUUAAGACUGCCGAGCUAGUAGGUGAGAGAGGUAAGUGGAAUUCCGAGUGUAGAGGUGAAAUUCGCAGAUAUUCGGAAGAACACCAGUGGCGAAGGCGGCUUACUGGCUCAUUCUAGACGCUGAGGUGCGAAAGCGUGGGGAGCAAACAGGAUUAGAUACCCCGUAGUCCCUGUCUCUUAUACA